UGAACUACUUGUAAGACUGCUCAAAUUCAUUUCAUAUGUUCCCCUAUUUUGUCUGUCUUGUCAUGGGUGAUGAGGAUAAUUCUGCCAAUGGUAACUUUGAUUUUCUCUAACAUGCAGGAACUAAAGUAUUCUUGAAGAGCCUAAAAAAUCAUAACUAGCACGUAGCUCUUGGUACAAUUGUAAGUUGUGAUCCUAAAUUUAAACUUGAUGGUGCUGAAAUUAGAAACGGAUUCCAGGCUGUGCAUGUCGAUAUGGCACUUGUGAAAACUGAAAAUUUGGUACGGAGUUGAAAAAACUGCAAUACUCUCGGUAAUGCAUAAAAAAACUAAUAUCUUGCCUCUAUUACUACUUGCAUCAUGGCAAUCUUUGUGUAUUAACAACUCAUUUUGUUAUCUUGUUUGUAGAUUCAAAAGAAAAUGGAUGACUAUAUGGUGUGUGGAAAGUAUACUGCAAUGAUGAUGUUGAUGUUCCGGUUCAUGAUGAUGAUGAUGAUGAUGGAUGCUUUCAGUUUUAGUUAAGUUGUAGGGAUAGCGUAUAUUGGAUGUUGUUCGUCCUU
This 556-nucleotide long non-coding RNA is filed under the name Triticum aestivum (bread wheat). RNAcentral's name for it is "long non-coding RNA (TAES_LNC008215)". The record is from RNAcentral. Lineage: Eukaryota; Viridiplantae; Streptophyta; Magnoliopsida; Poales; Poaceae.